GAUGAACGCUAGCUACAGGCUUAACACAUGCAAGUCGAGGGGUAGCACGGAGGAAGCUUGCUUCCUUGGGUGACGACCGGCGCACGGGUGAGUAACGCGUAUCCGACCUACCCAUAACUCGGGCACAGCCGCUCGAAAGAGUGAUUGAUUCCCGAUAUGUCCUUGGAGUAGAUUCAAUGAUGAAAGAUUUAUCGGUUAUGGAUGGGGAUGCGUAAGAUUAGGUAGUAGGCGGGGUAACGGCCCACCUAGCCGACGAUCUUUAGGGGUUCUGAGAGGAAGGUCCCCCCACACUGGUACUGAGACACGGACCAGACUCCUACGGGAGGCAGCAGUGAGGAAUAUUGGUCAAUGGGCGGAAGCCUGAACCAGCCAAGUAGCGUGAAGGAUUACAGCCCUACGGGUUUUAAACUUCUUUAUGCGAGAGUAAUGUGCGCUACGUGUAGCGUAUUGCAAGUAUCGCAUGAAUAAGCAUCGGCUAACUCCGUGCCAGCAGCCG
This 496-nucleotide ribosomal RNA is filed under the name uncultured bacterium. Its description in RNAcentral is "bacterial SSU rRNA". It matches the Rfam family "Bacterial small subunit ribosomal RNA", at positions 28 to 517 of the family's 1533-position model. The record is from RNAcentral.